UCCGCAAUGGAGAAUCUUAAGAUCGCGAUGGAGUUUCUAAAAAAAUUUUUUUCGCCUGGUGAGAAACAGUACUUGGACGGACAAGGGGCUUAACAUAGGAUGACUGGCGCCCUAAGGUCUCUUGCUCAGAUAGGGAAUCUUUGGAUCUCUUCUUUUGAUCUCCCACAACUUGCGGUAUUUAAUCUCACCUGGCUUUAUGUAAAUUUUGUACAUAUAGGACAUUAUUUGGCCAACUUCGUUGGCUCCACCUCUGAGGCUUCGGCAUUGGAGCUUAC
RNAcentral lists this long non-coding RNA (275 nucleotides) under Elaeis guineensis (African oil palm). RNAcentral describes it as "long non-coding RNA (EGUI_LNC013393)". The record is from RNAcentral. Lineage: Eukaryota; Viridiplantae; Streptophyta; Magnoliopsida; Arecales; Arecaceae.